This 404-nucleotide ribosomal RNA is filed under the name Episesarma mederi. RNAcentral describes it as "partial 12S ribosomal RNA". Lineage: Eukaryota; Metazoa; Arthropoda; Malacostraca; Decapoda; Sesarmidae. The record is from RNAcentral.
AUUAGAUAAAACUAGAUUAAUAUUAGUUAUAUACUUAAAAAUUAAAAAAUUUGGCGGUGAUUUAAUCUUAUCAGAGGAACUUGUUUUUUAAUCGAUAAACCACGAAAAAUCUUACUUGUUUUAGUUUAAAAUAUAUCAGUUUGUAUACCAUCAUUGUCAGAUAAUUCUUAAAAGAAAAAUUAUUAAAAAUAAAUAUAAUUAUUUAAAUUAGAUCAUGGUGCAGCUUAUAAACAAGAUAAAAUGAGUUACAAUAAAUUUUUUUAUAAUGAAUUAAUAAAAUAAAUGUUAUUAUGAAGGAGGAUUUGAUAGUAUUAUAAUUUUUAAUAAGUUUAUAAGAAAUUGGCUCUAAAUUAUGUACAUAUCGCCCGUCGCUUUCAUCUAUAAAUGAAAUAAGUCGUAACAUA